GGCAAAUCGGAACGACCAGCUCCUGCUGAACUCCCCCAGGACCGGAAGGUAGCAAGGGUAGGCGGUUGUAGCGGUGCGAUUCUCGGUUUGCCACU
This 95-nucleotide signal recognition particle RNA is filed under the name Adhaeribacter terrigena. Its description in RNAcentral is "signal recognition particle sRNA small type". It matches the Rfam family "Bacteroidales small SRP", at positions 9 to 102 of the family's 107-position model. Rfam says of the family: The non-coding component of the signal recognition particle in Bacteroides The record is from RNAcentral. Lineage: Bacteria; Pseudomonadati; Bacteroidota; Cytophagia; Cytophagales; Hymenobacteraceae.